CCCGAGUGAGGAAGGCACCACCACAAAGAGCUUCGCGGAGCCACCGUGUGCCAUGUUUGCCACACACCAAUAUUAGCUCAUCAUCAAGCAGGACCAUCCACGUUGAGGGCCAAUCACCGCUUCAUCACGUUUUGGAGUCGAUCCGGUUGUCAAUCCGUGUCUUCCUCUGCUGAUAACUGAGACUCAGUAGUUGUGACUUAAGAGGCAUGAUGAAUGGAAGCGAGCUUCAAAUUUGAAAGCAUGCACUAAUCAUAGUCUCAGUUUCCCUUCUAUCUGUCCAGAGCUUAUCUGAUAUCUCCUUUGUUCCACAUUGAUUUGUUGGGGUCUUGUCUGUGAAGUUUUAAGGUUUGGGAAUCUCUCAACUUUUACACUAUCCAAUGAUUACUGCUCUGAUUAUUUUUUUUUCAUUCAUAUGUUUAAUGCCUCAUCUUUCUGUUCCUUACUGGGAUCAACAGAGGCCCCUCUAGUCUGAACUGCUAUUACCAACUAAUGGUGUCUGUUUUACAGUUCUCAUGUGAUCACUUUGUUUAAUUUUAUAUACAAAUGACAGGUUAGUAACAAGUUCGAUUUAAGACAAAGCGAAUAACUGAUCACUGUCUCCCUGAUUAAGCAAUCAAAUCAAAAGGCCAAAGUAAUGUAAUAACUCUGUUUAAGUUCAAAAAAAAUGUAAUAACUCUGUUGUCGCUACCUUUUCUUUGGCCUUGGAUUGCAUAUGUUCUGCAGUACACAUAAGUGUUCCUGCUUACUCGGCUUAAUUAACAUCAUGCUGCCUACUUCUUUUUUUAUUUUCUGUGUUUGGCCAGAUGGACUAGAAGUAACUGCUCCUACUAAGGUAAUUAUGUAUCCUCUAUUAUAAUGGAUUUGUCUAACAAUGGAACACUAGUCAAUCUUUUUUACUAUAAUCAAGUUUACAUGUAAGCCACGAUAUCGGGCCUCCUUCUAUGCUGAUGACGCGGUGAUCUUCUCGAGACCUUACAAUUUGGAUCUGAUCACUAUUAGACACCUUCUGGAUUUAUUUGGACAUGCCUCUGGUCUUAGAACUAACCUGGCCAAAAGUUUAAUUUCCCCUAUUCAUUGUACUGAUGAGGAGUUGGCACUCACGGAAAACGUCCUCUCAUGUUCUGUACAGGCCUUCCCUUGUACGCGUCUUGGCCUCCCACUCUCCAUUGGAAAACCUACUAAAGAGGUGCUGCUACCUUUAGUGGAUAAGGUGGCAGAGUAUCUCCCUGGUUGGAAGGCUUCUCUAAUGAACAGGGCUGGGCGGUUAAUCAUGGUGAAGGUUGUGCUGACUGCUGUCCCCAUUUAUCUUUUAAUAGCCUUGGACCUUCCUAAAUGGGGGAUUAAGGCUAUUGAUAAAAAGCAGCGAUGUUUCUUUAGAAAGGUCACCAACAGGCCAAUGGUGGCAAUUGCCUGGUGGCUUGAGAAAAAGUAUAGAGAUCACUUGAGUAUGGAGGCCUUUAGAUCCAUAAUCUUGAACUUGGUUGUGCACUUAAGAUUCGGUGGCUGUGGACACAAAAGACAGUUGCUGAAAGGCCUUGGGCCGGCCUUCCUAUCUCUGUCCCUCAUAAAGCCCGGGCCCUCUUCAAUGUUGCAGUUGAUGCCAUAGUCGUGAAUGGAGAGGAAAUACUUUUCUGGA
This is a long non-coding RNA of Sorghum bicolor (sorghum), 1636 nucleotides long. RefSeq lists it as uncharacterized. The record is from RefSeq and is a predicted model, not a curated record. The transcript is spliced from 3 exons. Lineage: Eukaryota; Viridiplantae; Streptophyta; Magnoliopsida; Poales; Poaceae.